CCUACGGGAGGCAGCAGUAAGGAAUAUUGGUCAAUGGAGGCAACUCUGAACCAGCCGUGCCGCGUGCAGGAAGAAGGCCCUAUGGGUCGUAAACUGCUUUUGUACCAGAGAAAACCCGAGUACGUGUACUCGGUUGAUAGUAUGGUAAGAAUAAGCAUCGGCUAACUUCGUGCCAGCAGCCGCGGUAAGACGAAGGAUGCAAGCGUUAUCCGGAUUCAUUGGGUUUAAAGGGUGCGUAGGCGGACUGAUAAGUCAGUGGUGAAAUCUCUCAGCUUAACUGAGAAACUGCCAUUGAUACUGUUAGUCUAGAGUAUAGAUGACGUUGGCGGAAUAUGACAUGUAGUGGUGAAAUACUUAGAUAUGUCAUAGAACACCGAUUGCGAAGGCAGCUAACGAAACUAUAACUGACGCUGAGGCACGAAAGUGCGGGGAUCAAACAGGAUUAGAUACCCUGGUAGUCCGCACCGUAAACGAUGAUUACUCGUUGUUGGCAAUAUGACCGUCAGCGACCAAGCGAAAGCGAUAAGUAAUCCACCUGGGGAGUACGCCGGCAACGGUGAAACUCAAAUGAAUUGACGG
Molecule: ribosomal RNA, 579 nt
Filed under: uncultured bacterium
Lineage: Bacteria
Description: bacterial SSU rRNA
Rfam family: Bacterial small subunit ribosomal RNA
Source: RNAcentral